RNAcentral lists this ribosomal RNA (367 nucleotides) under uncultured organism. RNAcentral describes it as "bacterial SSU rRNA". It matches the Rfam family "Bacterial small subunit ribosomal RNA", at positions 526 to 896 of the family's 1533-position model. The record is from RNAcentral.
CGUAGGUGGCAAGCGUUGCCCGGAUUUAUGGGUUUAAAGGGUGCGUAGGCGGUCCUAUAAGUCAGUGCUGAAAUAUCCCGGCUUAACCGGGAGGGUGGCAUUGAUACUGCAGGACUUGAGCAGAGUUGAGGUUGGCGGAAUUGACGGUGUAGCGGUGAAAUGCUUAGAUAUCGUCAAGAACACCGAUAGUGAAGACAGCUAACUAGGCUUUAACUGACGCUGAGGCACGAAAGUGUGGGGAUCAAACAGGAUUAGAUACCCUGGUAGUCCACACUGUAAACGCUGAUUACUCGAUGUUGGCGAUACACAGCCAGCGUCUUAGCGCAAGCGAUAAGUAAUCCACCUGGGGAGUACGCCGGCAACGGUG